This is a non-coding RNA of Acanthosepion pharaonis, 112 nucleotides long. The record is from the annotation of a GenBank genome assembly. NCBI's taxonomy places the organism in Eukaryota, Metazoa, Mollusca, Cephalopoda, Sepiida, Sepiidae.
GACGGCCGUAUCUCAUUGAAAGAAUGGUUCUCGUCAGAUCACAGAAGUUAAGCAACAUCGAGCCUGGUCUGUACUGAGGUGUGUGACCGCUUCGGAAUACCAGGUUCUGUAA